GUCUAUUCAGAGACAUUAAAUAAAAUUGAAAUGAUAUAGAGAAGAUUAACAUGACCUCUGCAUAAGGAUGACAAUCAUAUAUUGAAAGAAUAGUUCAAAAAUUUA
Small nuclear RNA from Dendrobium catenatum, 105 nucleotides. The record is from RefSeq and is a predicted model, not a curated record. NCBI's taxonomy places the organism in Eukaryota, Viridiplantae, Streptophyta, Magnoliopsida, Asparagales, Orchidaceae.